AAAAUCAGUGCUCCGCGCUGUUGUUUCCACCUUGACUGUAGACGCCGACGCUGAAGGACUCAGCUGACUGACGAAAUGUUUGCCAACAGCAACCGUGAAAGGCAGAAGACGCGACGCUCAGUGAGACGGAGAUAAGCUCGUGUGUUGAGUGCUCACCAACCACAGUUUCUACUUAAUGAUGGACUUUACUUGAAAAGAGCUGAGAUGGAGAAGACUGUCUGUAGAAUUUGUUACUGGCAUCGAGAAAAGGGUCAGCUUUAAUUCAGCCCAACAUCUCAAAGAGCCUAGAGAGAUCCUGCUGAUGGUGAAGUUUGACACAAAACUGGCCCCCCUUUUACUGCUUGGACGUCCACUGUAGUCUUUACCCCUAUUUUUCACCACUGUGUCUUCGUUGUUCCUUAGAGUCUUCCUGAAUAUUAGGAAACUCAAUCAUACGGGACACAUCCUCACCGUCGCUCCUGUCUUCCCAAUUUUCAUCGAUGACAAAGUAGAAAGAUUUCACCUCACAGGUCUUAUCUUGUGUGUUAUAUGAGCCAAUAACAAGUUUUAUUUCAACUCUUUCAACAUCAUCGCUUUGAGGCAUGCAGAGGCCUUUCAGUGCUCUCAUUAUGGGCGAGCAGACUGGCUGGAAAACAGAGGAUGUAACAGGAAGCCCACUGCUUGACACCAAAAAGAGCAUCAAGAUGUAAGACAGUCAGUGCAGAUCUUCACAGCAUGGCAGACAAGCCAGGAGCAGACCUUACACUGAACGACAGCCCCGUCUCCAGAGCUCAAUGUUGGACUAUCAGCAGAUUGUGCUGAGAUUUGAAGAGGCCACCAUAAAAACUCCAGUCAUGGAGAAUAAAUCCACUAUCUGUACUUUAAAGAGGGAAGGCACCAAAAUGAGCUGAGCUCUCUGGGGCUUUGAUGAUCCUGGCCUCGUGAACCUCAGACAUGCAGCCCAUAAUAUGUCACACACUCCUACGUCUGCUCUGUGGCCUCUCCAAGCUCACCUCCUGCCUUACAUCUUAUGCUGCUGGUAUCGGCCUCAGCUCCCAAGACUUAUUACAGAGGCUGUGAAUGGCUGGUAAGGCACUAUAUGAGUUACCAGCGCACACACCAAAUACCAGCACUUUAAACAGAGACACUGGUCACUUUUGAACACCACAUACAAACGACACAUUUAGAGCAAUCACUCAACCUGACUACGUGUCUUGUUUUAUUUUGUUUGCUUCAAAAUAUUUUUUCAAGAUUCAUACUGCGCAAUGAGAAGGAAGCCUGAUGAUGGGGGAUCCAGCGCUGGAGGAGAUGCUGCUAAGAUGCUUAGAAAUAAAAAAUAAAAAUUAAAUACUCCAAUUUAAAUUAAAAAAAAAAGCUUACUCAAGUGAAAAAUGGGAAUAGAAAUGUUAUUUGAAACAAUUACAAUGGUGUGCUUUGUGUUCUUUCUGGACAUCCCUGCAGUUUUCUCCAAUCUCAUUAAAGAUGUCUGAAAUAAAGUUACAUAAACA
Molecule: long non-coding RNA, 1487 nt
Organism: Polypterus senegalus (gray bichir)
Lineage: Eukaryota; Metazoa; Chordata; Cladistia; Polypteriformes; Polypteridae
Exons: 6
Source: RefSeq, a predicted model, not a curated record